This is a long non-coding RNA of Lathyrus oleraceus (garden pea), 275 nucleotides long. RefSeq lists it as uncharacterized. The record is from RefSeq and is a predicted model, not a curated record. Lineage: Eukaryota; Viridiplantae; Streptophyta; Magnoliopsida; Fabales; Fabaceae. The transcript has 3 exons.
AAUAGCUGACUUUUUUCUAUCUUAACUAGCUGUAGUGUUGGCUGGCGGUGGUCACUCUGCUAAUGGUGUUGUGGCCCAAGGCUCCCAAUCUGAAGGGGAUUCUAACAACACAACUAUAUUUGUUGGAGGGCUUGAUUCUGAAAUCAGCGAUGAGGAUCUCAGACAACCGUUUUUGCAAUAUGGCGAUGUUGUCUCCGUGAAAAUUCCAAUCGGUAAAGGAUGUGGCUUUGUUCAACUUGCUGACAGAAAGAAUGCUGAGGAAGCUAUUCAGGGGG